GUUGAACGCUGGCGGCAGGCCUAACACAUGCAAGUCGAGCGGAUGAAGGGAGCUUGCUCCUGGAUUCAGCGGCGGACGGGUGAGUAAUGCCUAGGAAUCUGCAUGGUAGUGGGGGAUAACGUCCGGAAACGGGCGCUAAUACCGCAUACGUCCUGAGGGAGAAAGUGGGGGAUCUUCGGACCUCACGCUAUCAGAUGAGCCUAGGUCGGAUUAGCUAGUUGGUGGGGUAAAGGCCUACCAGGGCGACGAUCCGUAACUGGUCUGAGAGGAUGAUCAGUCACACUGGAACUGAGACACGGUCCAGACUCCUACGGGAGGCAGCAGUGGGGAAUAUUGGACACUGGGCGAAAGCCUGAUCCAGCCAUGCCGCGUGUGUGAAGAAGGUCUUCGGAUUGUAAAGCACUUUAAGUUGGGAGGAAGGGCAGUAAGUUAAUACCUUGCUGUUUUGACGUUACCAACAGAAUAAGCACCGGCUAACUUCGUG
RNAcentral lists this ribosomal RNA (484 nucleotides) under uncultured bacterium. Its description in RNAcentral is "partial 16S ribosomal RNA". It matches the Rfam family "Bacterial small subunit ribosomal RNA", at positions 28 to 507 of the family's 1533-position model. The record is from RNAcentral.